RNAcentral lists this ribosomal RNA (301 nucleotides) under uncultured bacterium. Its description in RNAcentral is "partial 16S ribosomal RNA". It matches the Rfam family "Bacterial small subunit ribosomal RNA", at positions 509 to 807 of the family's 1533-position model. The record is from RNAcentral.
CAGUAGCCGCGGGAAUACAGAGGGUGCGAGCGUAAAUCGGAUUUACUGGGCGUAAAGCGUGCGUAGGCGGCUUCUUAAGUCGGAUGUGAAAUCCCUGAGCUUAACUUAGGAAUUGCAUUCGAUACUGGGAAGCUAGAGUAUGGGAGAGGAUGGUAGAAUUCCAGGUGUAGCGGUGAAAUGCGUAGAGAUCUGGAGGAAUACCGAUGGCGAAGGCAGCCAUCUGGCCUAAUACUGACGCUGAGGUACGAAAGCAUGGGGAGCAAACAGGAUUAGAUACCCGCGUAGUCCCUGUCUCUUAUAC